UACGGAGGGUGCAAGCGUUAUCCGGAAUUACUGGGUUUAAAGGGUGCGUAGGCGGCGUUAUAAGUCAGAGGUGAAAGCCCACAGCUUAACUGUGGAAUUGCCUUUGAUACUGUAGUGCUUGAAUUAGGCUGAGGUCGGCGGAAUGUGACAUGUAGCGGUGAAAUGCAUAGAUAUGUCAUAGAACACCAAUUGCGAAGGCAGCUGACUAGACCUAUAUUGACGCUGAGGCACGAAAGCGUGGGGAGCGAACAGG
This 253-nucleotide ribosomal RNA is filed under the name uncultured bacterium. RNAcentral describes it as "partial 16S ribosomal RNA". It matches the Rfam family "Bacterial small subunit ribosomal RNA", at positions 524 to 776 of the family's 1533-position model. The record is from RNAcentral.